GAAUGGGUGAAAGCCAAUCCACAAUUAUGUAACAACGGUUUCAGGACAUCCAAUCCUUUGCUAUGUGUAAUGCUGAAUUCAGUACAAGGACUGAGAAUUCAUUUGGGCCAAGGGUAAGGGGGUUGGAGAACGGGGGCAACCAGCACUCAUAAUAGAGCUGGCAAUUUGCCCCAGGCUAUAGAAGCAGCAGCUGUACUAUGAAAAAUUCAAUAAAGUCUCAACUAAUCUGCACUUCAAAACAGGAUUGUCAUUCAAGCAAGAGACUUAAUCUGUGAUAUAGUGCCAAGAUUGCGAAGAGAGACAACAAGCUAGACAGAAAGCACAACACACAAACAGAUUCUGACAGAGAUGGCCCAGGAGUCUUGGAAGUGGCACUGCCCUUCCACAGUUCCCACCCUCCCCACUUUGUUGCCAGCCCAGAUUCCAUAGGCAUUAUUGAGAGGAGCAGUCACUGUGGCUAACGUUCUUCACUAUUGACAUUAUUGCGGAUCAAUGCUAUUGCUGGGCAGGGAUGCCGAAGAACUCUGGGAAUAGCAGCAUCCCUUAAAACACUAGUCCCGUUUCUUGCCAAACUCUGGCAGCCAUCACUAGGGAAUUCACUCUUGUGGAAAUGAGGCCUAUCAAAUAUUUCUGUGGGUAAUACGACCCUGCCUGCCACAACAGUCACCACUACUGACGUUCCAGAAAGUUCUUGCCACCAAAGUCCUUGAUGUUGGCAAAUGGCUCAAUGUCAGAAACAGGAAUGACAAAGUCAACUGAGUUACCUGAGGAUAAAAAGGGAGUCUGGAAAUGAAUGGCAGAAAUGGGGAAUCUCCAGAUAGAUCCCAGCCUUCCAUCUAAGAUCA
Long non-coding RNA from Sarcophilus harrisii (Tasmanian devil), 845 nucleotides. RefSeq lists it as uncharacterized. NCBI's taxonomy places the organism in Eukaryota, Metazoa, Chordata, Mammalia, Dasyuromorphia, Dasyuridae. The transcript is spliced from 3 exons. The record is from RefSeq and is a predicted model, not a curated record.